Molecule: ribosomal RNA, 383 nt
Filed under: uncultured bacterium
Lineage: Bacteria
Description: bacterial SSU rRNA
Rfam family: Bacterial small subunit ribosomal RNA
Source: RNAcentral
UGAGGAAUAUUGCACAAUGGAGGAAACUCUGAUGCAGCAACGCCGCGUGGAGGAUGACGCAUUUCGGUGUGUAAACUCCUUUUAUAGCUCAUGAAUAAGCACCGGCUAACUCCGUGCCAGCAGCCGCGGUAAUACGGAGGGUGCAAGCGUUAUUCGGAAUCACUGGGCGUAAAGGACGCGUAGGCGGGAAGCCAAGUCUGAUGUGAAAUCCUAUGGCUUAACCAUAGAACUGCAUUGGAAACUGGUUACCUAGAGUAUGGGAGGGGGAGAUGGAAUUAGUGGUGUAGGGGUAAAAUCCGUAGAUAUCACUAGGAAUACCGAAAGCGAAGGCGAUCUCCUGGAACAAUACUGACGCUAAGGCGUGAAAGCGUGGGGAGCAAACG